Molecule: ribosomal RNA, 179 nt
Filed under: uncultured bacterium
Lineage: Bacteria
Description: partial 16S ribosomal RNA
Rfam family: Bacterial small subunit ribosomal RNA
Source: RNAcentral
GACUCCGUGAAGCUGGAUUCGCUAGUAAUCGCGCAUCAGCCAUGGCGCGGUGAAUACGUUCCCGGGCCUUGUACACACCGCCCGUCAAGCCAUGGAAGCCGGGGGCGCUUGAAGUGCGUUGCCGCAAGGCGCGCCCUAGAGCGAAACCGGUGACUGGGGCUAAGUCGUAACAAGGUAAC